Molecule: long non-coding RNA, 976 nt
Organism: Rosa rugosa (rugosa rose)
Lineage: Eukaryota; Viridiplantae; Streptophyta; Magnoliopsida; Rosales; Rosaceae
Exons: 4
Source: RefSeq, a predicted model, not a curated record
AGCUCAAAUUUUCUCUAUCUUUCAAUCAGAAAUCUUGAUUCAAUUUGAUUGGAGAUUCUCUCUCCGCCGCUAGCUUCAGAUUGCGCUUGGUCUCUCUACGACGAUCUGAAAUCUCAAUUUUGAAUGGUUUUGGAGCUUCAAUCCACAGCUUUCUUCUUUUUUUUUAGAUCUCUGAAACAAUGGCUGACGAGAACGUCGUCGACGAUCGCCGCCUAGCUCUAAAAUGUGUUCGUCAUCGACGCCUCGUCACUCCUUGUUCAGGCAAUGUAUCAUUCACUUCCAAUGCGGUGUAAGAGAGUUGUGGAUUUUCAUAUAACAUGCUUAGAGGAGAGAAUCAUCGUCAUCGUCAUCAUCACCUUAGCUCUUCAAUUUCCAACGAAAUGGAGCUGAAGCCAGGUCUCUCAGCUCUCGUCACCGGCGGAGCUUCUGGAAUUGGAUGUCACGAUGAAGAUUAUGACAUUCUCUCAACAAGGAUCUCAUGCUAUUUGCAUACUUUCUGCAAAUGGUACCAUAUCAAAUGUCACACUUCGACAGCCCAGUACUUCUGGAGGUACUUUUAACAUACGAGGGCCGAUUUGAGAUACUUUCAUUGUCUGGAUCAUAUAUGCCAACUAAGAAUGAAGGAACAAAGAGCAGGUCAGGUGGCAUGAGCGUCUCUUUGGCAAGUUCAGAUGGUAGAGUUGUUGGACUGGCUGGUCUAUUGAUAGCUACAGGACCUGUGUAGCUAACAUGGUUUCUUAGGAAGAAAAAACAAAAGAAGAUAGUCAUUAUAUUAUUCUAAUGAUUAGUUCGAAGGAGUAGAAUGCCACCUUCCUUUCCCUUUGACAUCUCUCUGUAACAGUUUAGGUAUCCAAUGAAUGAAGUUUGGUUCCAUUUUGAGUUGUAAAAAAAGGUUGUUCUUGUUUAAAGUUGUGUUUAGAAUUCGAAAACAACUUCAUCUAUUAAGAUUUGAAGCCACUAAUAGAAUCAUUCCUAA